UAAGAGACAGCAGUCGCCGCGGUAAUACGUAGGUCCCGAGCGUUGUCCGGAUUUAUUGGGCGUAAAGGGAGCGCAGGCGGUUUAGUAAGUCUGAAGUUAAAGGCAUUGGCUCAACCAAUGUAUGCUUUGGAAACUGUUAGACUUGAGUGCAGAAGGGGAGAGUGGAAUUCCAUGUGUAGCGGUGAAAUGCGUAGAUAUUCGGAAGAACACCAGUGGCGAAGGCGGCUCACUGGCUCAUUCUAGACGCUGAGGUGCGAAAGCGUGGGGAGCAAACAGGAUUAGAUACCCCAGUAGUCCCUGUCUCUUAUACA
RNAcentral lists this ribosomal RNA (311 nucleotides) under uncultured bacterium. RNAcentral describes it as "partial 16S ribosomal RNA". It matches the Rfam family "Bacterial small subunit ribosomal RNA", at positions 502 to 808 of the family's 1533-position model. The record is from RNAcentral.